GCCUGGGUGGCUCAGUCGGUUGAGCGUCCGACUUCGGCUCGGGUCAUGAUCCCAGGGUCGUGGGAUCGAGCCCCACAUUGGGUU
This 84-nucleotide transfer RNA is filed under the name Felis catus (domestic cat). It matches the Rfam family "tRNA". Rfam says of the family: Transfer RNA (tRNA) molecules are approximately 80 nucleotides in length. Their secondary structure includes four short double-helical elements and three loops (D, anti-codon, and T loops). Lineage: Eukaryota; Metazoa; Chordata; Mammalia; Carnivora; Felidae. The record is from Rfam by way of RNAcentral.